Molecule: ribosomal RNA, 501 nt
Filed under: uncultured bacterium
Lineage: Bacteria
Description: partial 16S ribosomal RNA
Rfam family: Bacterial small subunit ribosomal RNA
Source: RNAcentral
ACUCAAAUGAAUAGACGGGGGCCCGCACAAGCGGUGGAGUAUGUGGUUUAAUUCGAUGCAACGCGAAGAACCUUACCAGGGCUUGACAUCCUGGGAACUUCCCUGAAAGGGGAGGGUGCCCGCAAGGGAGCCCGGAGACAGGUGGUGCAUGGCUGUCGUCAGCUCGUGUCGUGAGAUGUUGGAUUAAGUUCCGCAACGAGCGCAACCCUCGUCGUAUGUUGCCAGCACGUAAUGGUGGGCACUCAUGCGAGACUGCUGCAGCAAUGUGGAGGAAGGUGGGGAUGACGUCAAGUCAGCAUGCCCCGUACGCCCUGGGCUACACACAUACUACAAUGCCAGAAGCAAACCGUUGCCAACCCGUGAGGGGGAGCUAAUCGGAAAAGAUCUGGCUCAGUGCGGAUUGUAGGCUGCAACUCGCCUACAUGAAGUCGGAAUCGCUAGUAACCGUCGGUCAGCAUUACGACGGUGAAUACGUUCCCGGGCCUUGUACACACCGCCCGU